GACGAACGCUGGCGGCGUGCUUAACACAUGCAAGUCGAACGGAAAGGCCUCUUUCGGGGGGUACUCGAGUGGCGAACGGGUGAGUAACACGUGAGUAACCUGCCCUUGACUUUGGGAUAACUUCAGGAAACUGGGGCUAAUACCGGAUAGGAGCUCCUGCUGCAUGGUGGGGGUUGGAAAGUUUCGGCGGUUGGGGAUGGACUCGCGGCUUAUCAGCUUGUUGGUGGGGUAGUGGCUUACCAAGGCUUUGACGGGUAGCCGGCCUGAGAGGGUGACCGGCCACAUUGGGACUGAGAUACGGCCCAGACUCCUACGGGAGGCAGCAGUGGGGGAGAUUGCACAAUGGGUGGAAGCCUGAUGCAGCAACGCCGUGUGCGGGAUGACGGCCUUCGGGUUGUAAACCGCUUUCGCUCAUGACGAAGCUUUGUGUGACGGUAGUGGGUAAAGAAGCACCGGCUAACUACGUG
RNAcentral lists this ribosomal RNA (467 nucleotides) under uncultured bacterium. Its description in RNAcentral is "partial 16S ribosomal RNA". It matches the Rfam family "Bacterial small subunit ribosomal RNA", at positions 28 to 507 of the family's 1533-position model. The record is from RNAcentral.